GCCUGGGUGGCUCAGUCGGUGAAGCGUCCGACUUCGGCUCAGGUCAUGAUCGCACGGUUUGUGGGUUCGAGCCCCACGUCGGGCU
Felis catus (domestic cat) is the source of this 85-nucleotide non-coding RNA. The record is from Rfam. NCBI's taxonomy places the organism in Eukaryota, Metazoa, Chordata, Mammalia, Carnivora, Felidae.